Long non-coding RNA from Carassius auratus (goldfish), 892 nucleotides. RefSeq lists it as uncharacterized. NCBI's taxonomy places the organism in Eukaryota, Metazoa, Chordata, Actinopteri, Cypriniformes, Cyprinidae. The record is from RefSeq and is a predicted model, not a curated record. The transcript has 5 exons.
CCUUUAGACAAGAGAAGGUGGUGUCGAUAAGACGUGAGGUUAUUAUUCAUCAUACGUUCAGCUAUGCUUUAUAUACCACAUAUAUGUAUAUUAGGAUACGUUUGAUAUAAUACGAUCAUAAUUUUUCCUUUGCGUUAUAUCUUGCAGCUUUAGUAAUUGGUUUAGUGUUGUUGACAGACAUAUGUACAGUGAGACAAAACGAUGACCACAACGAUGGGGAAUCAUUCAGACUUGAUAGUUUAUAUCUGCGUCCUUUUGUGCAAUACACUACAGAAUACAUCAUAGUAUAUUCAAGUUGCCAACACACUGAUGUGAAGAACCCUUUCCAGAGAAAUAUAGAAGGAAAUGACUGUUGAGUUUCAGAAACACAUCCAGACACAUGGACUGUCAAAGACCACACAGGAACAUUCUCCUGGAGACGCUGAGAAAGCACAGAAGGAAUCUCUGUGGAAGAUGUACUCAAACACACCCAGACUUCAGGACACCUGCUGGAGGGGAACCUGCUACAGCCUUUCCUACCAUACACGUGAAGGAUAGUGACUGUACAAUGGCAAUCAUAGUUCGAGGGUUCAGUGUAAUGACAGAAGAUGUAUUCUGCAUUCAACAUUACAUAUCCAACACAUCUGAGAAAGACACUGACUUCAGAGGCACAUUGUCAUCAUUAGAAGAGGGAGACGAUCACUGUCAGUAACUUUACUCUGAAUGAUUUGCCUUUUGUAUUAGAUCCUCAUGGCUUGACUUUACCAAGUGCACUUGAAGGACAUUCACUCUUCUGAAGUUAAUCCAACAUGUUGGGUAUCGUUGACUGAAAGUCUGUCAGUCCAGAUGUGAGGAGGACAUACAGAGUGGAAUCUAUUUUUUUUUUUAAUUGGCGACUGAAACUGAAAGCUAA